CCUACGGGAGGCAGCAGUCGAGAAUCAUUCACAAUGGGGGAAACCCUGAUGGAGCGACGCCGCGUGGGGGAAUGAAGGUCUCCGGAUUGUAAACUCCUGUCAUGUGGGAGCAAAUUAAAAAGAUAGUACCACAAGAGGAAGAGACGGCUAACUCGGUGCCAGCAGCCGCGGUAAUACAGAGGUCUCAAGCGUUGUUAGGAAUCACUGGGCGUAAAGCGUGCGUAGGCUGUUUCGUAAGUCGUGUGUGAAAGGCGCGGGCUCAACCCGCGGACGGCACAUGAUACUGCGAGACUAGAGUAAUGGAGGGGGAACCGGAAUUCUCGGUGUAGCAGUGAAAUGCGUAGAUAUCGAGAGGAACACUCGUGGCGAAGGCGGGUUCCUGGACAUUAACUGACGCUGAGGCACGAAGGCCAGGGGAGCGAAAAGGAUUAGAUACCCGAGUAGUC
This 446-nucleotide ribosomal RNA is filed under the name uncultured bacterium. RNAcentral's name for it is "partial 16S ribosomal RNA". It matches the Rfam family "Bacterial small subunit ribosomal RNA", at positions 338 to 795 of the family's 1533-position model. The record is from RNAcentral.